This 249-nucleotide ribosomal RNA is filed under the name uncultured Williamsia sp. Its description in RNAcentral is "partial 16S ribosomal RNA". It matches the Rfam family "Bacterial small subunit ribosomal RNA", at positions 355 to 620 of the family's 1533-position model. Lineage: Bacteria; Bacillati; Actinomycetota; Actinomycetes; Mycobacteriales; Nocardiaceae. The record is from RNAcentral.
UGGGGAAUAUUGCACAAUGGGCGCAAGUCUGAUGCAGCGACGCCGCGUGAGGGAUGACGGCCUUCGGGUUGUAAACCUCUUUCACCAGGGGCGAACUUAGACGGUACCUGGAGAAGAAGCACCGGCCAACUACGUGCCAGCAGCCGCGGUAAUACGUAGGGUGCGAGCGUUGUCCGGAAUUACUGGGCGUAAAGAGCUCGUAGGCGGUUUGUCGCGUCGUUCGUGAAAACUUGAUGCUUAACAUCAAGC